RNAcentral lists this ribosomal RNA (425 nucleotides) under uncultured crenarchaeote. RNAcentral describes it as "bacterial SSU rRNA". It matches the Rfam family "Archaeal small subunit ribosomal RNA", at positions 51 to 452 of the family's 1478-position model. Lineage: Archaea; Thermoproteati; Thermoproteota. The record is from RNAcentral.
AUGCUAGUCGUGCGCCGUCCUACCCUUGUUGCAAGCGCGGCAUACCUCUCAAACACACGUGUUUAAUCUGCCCUUAACACUGAUAACCCUCCGGGAAACUGGCUAAAAUGCUGGACAGGCGAAGAUGCCUGAUGGUUUGCUUCGCCGAAAAGGCGUCUAAAACAUGGUUUUGACCCUGCCUAAGGAUGAGACCGCGACCGAUCAGGUUGUUGGGGGGGUAACCGCCCAACCUUUCAAUAACCGGGACCGUGCCUGAGAUGGGGAGCCCAGAGAUGGAACCUGAGACAACGUUGCCCGCCUUACCGGGCCCAGCACGAACACUCACUCCUGAAUGCAAGAAAGAGGGAUGUAUUUCCCCCGAGUGCCGACCGUUGAUGAUUUUUUUUCAUCUAAUUAAGGAGGCGAAUAAAUAAGCGGGGAAACAA